This 253-nucleotide ribosomal RNA is filed under the name uncultured bacterium. Its description in RNAcentral is "partial 16S ribosomal RNA". It matches the Rfam family "Bacterial small subunit ribosomal RNA", at positions 524 to 776 of the family's 1533-position model. The record is from RNAcentral.
GACGUAGGGCGCGAGCGUUGUCCGGAUUUAUUGGGCGUAAAGAGCUCGUAGGCGGCUUGUCGCGUCGUUCGUGAAAACCCGGGGCUCAACUCCGGGCUUGCGGGCGAUACGGGCAGGCUAGAGUUCGGUAGGGGAGACUGGAAUUCCUGGUGUAGCGGUGAAAUGCGCAGAUAUCAGGAGGAACACCGGUAGCGAAGGCGGGUCUCUGGGCCGAUACUGACGCUGAGGAGCGAAAGCGUGGGGAGCGAACAGG